Molecule: ribosomal RNA, 245 nt
Filed under: uncultured bacterium
Lineage: Bacteria
Description: partial small subunit ribosomal RNA
Rfam family: Bacterial small subunit ribosomal RNA
Source: RNAcentral
AGAAUCAACGCUGGCGGCGUGCCUAACACAUGCAAGUCGAACGAGAAAGUGGAACAAUCCAUGAGUAAAGUGGCGCACGGGUGAGUAACACGUGACUAACCUACCCUUGAGUGGGGGAUAACCUAGAGAAAUCUGGGCUAAUACCGCAUAAUACCUACGGGUCAAAGGAGCAAUUCGCUUUAGGAGGGGGUCGCGGUCGAUUAGUUAGUUGGCGGGGUAAUGGCCCACCAAGACAGUGAUCGAUA